ACGGGUGAGUAAUGCCUAGGAAUCUGCCUGGUAGUGGGGGACAACGUCUCGAAAGGGACGCUAAUACCGCAUACGUCCUACGGGAGAAAGCAGGGGACCUUCGGGCCUUGCGCUAUCAGAUGAGCCUAGGUCGGAUUAGCUAGUUGGUGAGGUAAUGGCUCACCAAGGCGACGAUCCGUAACUGGUCUGAGAGGAUGAUCAGUCACACUGGAACUGAGACACGGUCCAGACUCCUACGGGAGGCAGCAGUGGGGAAUAUUGGACAAUGGGCGAAAGCCUGAUCCAGCCAUGCCGCGUGUGUGAAGAAGGUCUUCGGAUUGUAAAGCACUUUAAGUUGGGAGGAAGGGUUGUAGAUUAAUACUCUGCAAUUUUGACGUUACCGACAGAAUAAGCACCGGCUAACUCUGUGCCAGCAGCCGCGGUAAUACAGAGGGUGCAAGCGUUAAUCGGAAUUACUGGGCGUAAAGCGCGCGUAGGUGGUUUGUUAAGUUGGAUGUGAAAGCCCCGGGCUCAACCUGGGAACUGCAUUCAAAACUGACAAGCUAGAGUAUGGUAGAGGGUGGUGGAAUUUCCUGUGUAGCGGUGAA
RNAcentral lists this ribosomal RNA (587 nucleotides) under uncultured bacterium. Its description in RNAcentral is "bacterial SSU rRNA". It matches the Rfam family "Bacterial small subunit ribosomal RNA", at positions 102 to 685 of the family's 1533-position model. RNAcentral also lists the same sequence under 1 other name. The record is from RNAcentral.